GGGGAUGUAGCUCAGCAGUAGAGCACUUGCCUAGCAUGUAUAAGCCCUGGGCUCCAUCCCCA
This 62-nucleotide transfer RNA is filed under the name Heterocephalus glaber (naked mole-rat). It matches the Rfam family "tRNA". Rfam says of the family: Transfer RNA (tRNA) molecules are approximately 80 nucleotides in length. The record is from Rfam by way of RNAcentral. Lineage: Eukaryota; Metazoa; Chordata; Mammalia; Rodentia; Bathyergidae.